RNAcentral lists this long non-coding RNA (677 nucleotides) under Sus scrofa (pig). Its description in RNAcentral is "lncRNA (ENSSSCG00025036216.1)". Lineage: Eukaryota; Metazoa; Chordata; Mammalia; Artiodactyla; Suidae. The record is from RNAcentral.
ACUUCCACUAGUCAGGCAAGCCUGCCUUGUUCUGAUGGCUUUUUUGAGCAAUUUAUUAACUUAUAGUGAUUUCUCAAAGUCCUCUAGACUUCCCUCUCUAUCUAUGAGUCUUUAUUGGGGCUUCUGCAACUAGCUGUGCCUACUCUGUUCAUAUCAUUACCAGCCUUACUUUGCCUUUCCACAGCAGACUAGCCGGCCUUUCUCCUAUCCUUUUUUUCAUCCUGAUUUCAGAAAGGUCACCCUCUACUUCUUUUCCAAAGGGUGAUUCAGGGAUCCCUCAUGGCAAUUCCCAACAGAGCAAUACCAUGCACCUCCUGCUGCCCCAUUUAAAUGGUCUGAACUGCGUGGCUUUUCAUCUACUCUCUCUUUAGAGUGAAGCUGCAAAGUGGAGAAGACUUGAAUGGCCUUGUAUCUUCAAAGAAGCUCCUUGAGCUCUGGAAUGCAACCGAGUGGGAGAAACCACUGAACAUCAGGAAAUGUCAACAAUGCAGCAGAAACCCCUGGCAGAGUCCAUGUGGGAUGGCUAACAGGAUGAAGAGAAGCCAGGUAGCUGUGGUUUUUUUUAACCUCGAUGCCUUCAUCUUCUGGAUUUCCUAUUUUGGAACACCUCAUAAUUUCUCAUGCCAUUAAUAUGCAUCCCAUUUUGUAUGACAUAGAAACUGAAGAUUACAUGAACU